This 221-nucleotide ribosomal RNA is filed under the name uncultured bacterium. Its description in RNAcentral is "partial 16S ribosomal RNA". It matches the Rfam family "Bacterial small subunit ribosomal RNA", at positions 111 to 334 of the family's 1533-position model. The record is from RNAcentral.
UAAUGUCUGGGAAACUGCCUGAUGAGGGGGAGUAACUAACUGGAAACGGUAGCUAAUACCGCAUAAUGUCGCAAGACCAAAGUGGGGGACCUUCGGGCCUCAUGCCAUCAGAUGUGCCCAGAUGGGAUUAGCUAGUAGGUGGGGUAACGGCUCACCUAGGCGACGAUCCCUAGCUGGUCUGAGAGGAUGACCAGCCACACUGGAACUGAGACACGGUCCAG